Molecule: ribosomal RNA, 38 nt
Filed under: Bryum yuennanense
Lineage: Eukaryota; Viridiplantae; Streptophyta; Bryopsida; Bryales; Bryaceae
Description: partial 26S ribosomal RNA
Source: RNAcentral
GACCUCUAAUCGGAAAAGACUACCCGCCGAGUUUAAAA